Molecule: non-coding RNA, 990 nt
Organism: Plutella xylostella (diamondback moth)
Lineage: Eukaryota; Metazoa; Arthropoda; Insecta; Lepidoptera; Plutellidae
Source: RefSeq, a predicted model, not a curated record
AUUAAUGAAACUGCUGUGACGGAAUGAGGUCCGACAUGUGUGUGAUCGUAGUCGCUAAGUCAAAAAUAGUGGAGGCAUGUUUACAGUAAAAAAUAAAUGGUGAAAACACUUUUCAUGAAUGGGAUUCAGAAUCAAUGAUCAUGACGUCGAUCUGGAAGAGACUUUUACUUAUUAUGAUAUAAAUAAGCAUUUAAAAAAUCAUGGACCGAACAUGAGGACUCCCUUGUUUAUAAAAAGCUGGAAAAAAAGCCGCAGGAACCCAGAGACACUUUUUUAAUUCAGCUGUCAUAAUAUUAAUAUUUUCAUGGAAUUUAAUGUAAAUAUUUUUUUAUAAAAUGUGUUUUUUAUUUCCUCGUUGUAUGUUUGCCGUUUGCAGAAAUAUAGCCGCGUGGGUUGGAUUGUUAUUUGUCAUCCUGUUUGUUUGCAGUCGCUAUGAAAAGGAUGAGUCUUCUUUCUGCGAUUUUGUAAUGGAUAGGGUUAAUGAUAUAGAAAAAAUACUUAAAAUAAAAGAAAAUAAAGAGCCUUCUAAGACCAGAAGAUGUGGCGAAGACAGUCUUAUCAAUCUCAAAGGAGAAAAUAACGACAAGGGUACUGAAAAUACUGAAAAAAUUAUAAGUGAUCUUGCAAAAGAAGAGACUCUUGAAAAAAUAAGAGUAUAUCGUACUUAGUUUAUAUUUAAUGCAAAGGAAUAAAUUAAUACGAUCGAGGAUCGAGUGAAUGAAAUUUGACAGCCGCUACAAAAGGGAUUCAUCUACUUAUUGUGAUGUUGUUAAUGACGCGGUUGAAUACAUAGAAAAGGUACUGAACUUUACAAGAAGCGAUCGAAAACCGGCAAUUUCAAGAAGAUGUGGAUCUUUGAGUGCUUAUGAUGAUGGUAAAGAAACUAAAGAAAGACUAGUGAAACCAGUGCAAGAGAAACUUGAGAAGAUUAAGACGUAUCGUGCGUAAAACUGCUUAUAACAAUAAAAUAAAAACGGAAGGCUCUGAUAA